This 253-nucleotide ribosomal RNA is filed under the name uncultured bacterium. RNAcentral describes it as "partial 16S ribosomal RNA". It matches the Rfam family "Bacterial small subunit ribosomal RNA", at positions 524 to 776 of the family's 1533-position model. The record is from RNAcentral.
UACAGAGGGUGCGAGCGUUAAUCGGAAUUACUGGGCGUAAAGCGCGCGUAGGCGGCUUUUCAAGUCGAUUGUGAAAUCCCCGGGCUUAACCUGGGAACUGCAGUCGAGACUGUCUAGCUAGAGUAUGGGAGAGGGAAGUGGAAUUUCAGGUGUAGCGGUGAAAUGCGUAGAUAUCUGAAGGAGCAUCAGUGGCGAAAGCGACUUCCUGGACCAAUACUGACGCUCAUGUGCGAAAGCGUGGGGAGCAAACAGG